CUGUAUUCACGUAAGUGAUCUUCAUUGAGACCAAUAGAACAACCCAUCUGAGACCACUUCAAAUUGUGAAGAACGUGAGCUAAAUAAAUGGCUGUUUCAAGCCACUAGGUUUUGGGGUUGUUACAAAGCAAUAGUUUCUGAGUCUGGAAUUCUGGAACAGCCUGAGUGGAUGGUUCUGGCUCAGGUCCUCUCAUAAGGUUAUGUAGACCAAGACUUCAGUCGUCUCAAGACUCAACCAAGGCUGAAGAAUCAGCAUCUAAGUUCACUCAAGUUCUUAUUGAGACCUUUUGGACCAACUGCAUGUCCUUCAUAAUUUUGUAGAACGCGGAAGGAGGACAUCUAAUACAAUUUUCUGUUGACAUCUCUGUCCAAUACUUAGAGAUGAAGAAAAUGAGCAUUUGAAAGAACACGAAGCAUUUCAAAAUCCACAUUGUGGUUAAAAGAAAAGAUGGGUCCUUCAACAUUAUUGGAGAAUUCACUGAAGUAAGACAUGACAGUGCUGGGAGAAUUAAGACACAUGCACAUCUGCUAGUCAUCAUUCUUAACUGUUCAGGAAGGCAAGAGAAGUGUCUUCUUUGUGCUUCAAACCUCACCUUUAAUAAAACCUGAGAAAAUCUAUGGAUAUCCAAUAACGACAAGAGAAAGAGAAAGAGGUGAGGAAAAGGAAGAAAAUAGAAGGCAAUGUCAAAGACAAAUCAGUAAGGAGAUUGAUUUUAUUCAGGCUAUUGAAAUAGAGACAUCCAAACACCAGUGUCUAAACUGUGGAGUUUUACCCUAGACUUUUAAAGGGAGGAGUAAAGUUCAAGGUAGAGUGAUCUACACUUGGUUUUUUGUUCUGUUUUCUUUUCAAUCAAGGAAGUCUCAGUCAGUUAGCUAAAAUGGAAAUGUUUAUCCUUGUGUCUAGCUAGUUUCGCAGGAGACAAACAGUUCUAAUUUCAGCUAAUCAUUCAUGAGACAAGGAAUGGGAAGGAGGAGGGUCUAUGUCUGGUUUAGUCAGCAGGUUCAGGCUAAAGGGGAAAGAGUCUGUUUGGGACCUGUCACAGGUACACAAGGGAGUCAUCUGCAAAUCUUAGAGGGGUCAUGAGAAAGGAUAGACGGAAGGUUUUAUCUAUUUCACAUGAGUAGUUAAGGUAAACUUUUUCCAAUGACACGAAAAGGGCGAUUCUGGAUAACAAAACCUUGGGGAGAUGUCUUAACCAUCAUUGUUUUCCAGAGCUCAGGUACGGUUCACCAGUAGCAGAGGGGCAAGAAAAAAGCCAGAGCUUUUUUUAGGAACAUUACAUUUUUUCUGUAUAUUAAAUUUGCUGAGUUAAAUUCAUUUUUUACAAACUAAAGCUUUUUCUUCAAGUGUUUUCUCAAAUAUGCACAUCUCUAUUAACGUCUUCAAUUUAACUUAAAAAUUUUAAUUUUAAUUUGAUGUUUGGUUUCUUAUUCAUAUUUUGUAUAUAAAUCCAUUACAUUAUCCUAGAAUCAAUAAUAAACUAAAAGCAUCAUGAUUUCACCUGUUUAGUUUCUUAACAUUCUUUUCCACAUGCAAUUUAAUUUACUAUGUAUAUUUUUUAAUUAAGCUAAAUUAAACCUUUUAGACAUGGAAAAUUUUAUCAAUCAUAUAGCCCAACACCUUCAUUUGUUCAAAUAAACAACUUUAGUCCCAUAGAGUUUUCCCAAACUUAUACAAUUAGCUGUUUUGAUUGCCAGGACCAGAACUCAGGUUGCCUGACUCCUACUGUAAUUCUCACUGCAUUGCAACACACUCAUAGUCCCAUUUUAGAAAUGAAUGCCAAUAUUCUCUUAACAUGACCAUUAGAACAGAUUAAAAUUAGAACAGGCAAGUGUAAACACUAAAAAAAAAUUAAAAAAAAGCUAUUUGUGGUUAAAGGACUUAAAAGGAAAACCAAACAAGCAGCAACACUACUGAAAACAUGCAAAAAAGAAAAAAAAAAUACAACUAAAGUUUGCAGUUUAUAAAAACAAAGUGACAAAAUAAGAUCAAGCUGAAAGUUUUAUCAUUCUUUUCUUUUUUUAAAGCUUAUUCAUUUAUUUUGAGAGAGAGAGGGAGCACAAGCAGGGGAGGGGCAGAGAGAGAGAGGGAGAAGCAGAAUCCCAUGCUGACAGCAUGGAGCUGGUGUGGGACUUGAACUCAUGAACUGUGAGAUCAUGACCAGAGUUAAAAUCAUGUUUAACUGACUGAGCCACCCAGGCAACCAUUCUUAACAGAUUAAUACCAGAUUCAAUUUCCUAAAUGCUUGUUUUUAAAGUUGUUACAAGCCAGCCUAACACUGAUAAUUGCUCACCAAGAGUAACAGAAGGAUAUGAAUCUCAGAGGAAGUUGCGUCCACAUGAAUUGGAAAGCAGCUAGAGCUGAGCCAGUUCUCCUAACUGCUCUUGUGUACCUAAUGCAGAUUUAUUUUAGCGUCAAAUAAAGGAAGUGCAAGGGUGUUCUUGGCACAUCAAUUUUGGCUCAAGGGCAGCUUCUGGGUAGUUUCCUAAAGCUGAGACUC
Acinonyx jubatus (cheetah) is the source of this 2501-nucleotide long non-coding RNA. RefSeq lists it as uncharacterized. The record is from RefSeq and is a predicted model, not a curated record. The transcript is spliced from 7 exons. NCBI's taxonomy places the organism in Eukaryota, Metazoa, Chordata, Mammalia, Carnivora, Felidae.